GGCAACAUGGCCGAGUGGUCUAAGGCGCCAGAAUCAGGCUAUUUAUAGCUUAUCUGGUCUUCGGGCGUGGGUUCGAAUCCCACUGUUGUCA
RNAcentral lists this transfer RNA (91 nucleotides) under Agaricus bisporus var. burnettii. It matches the Rfam family "tRNA". Rfam says of the family: Transfer RNA (tRNA) molecules are approximately 80 nucleotides in length. RNAcentral also lists the same sequence under 2 other names. The record is from Rfam by way of RNAcentral. Lineage: Eukaryota; Fungi; Basidiomycota; Agaricomycetes; Agaricales; Agaricaceae.